AGCGUUUUGUGCUUCCAACCGGUGGAAAGAACGUCCGUGCGAGCCGAGCAGGCCAAUAGCCCAGAAAACUCUGAAGGCGGGCGCGAACAAGUGAGCCGUAGCCAGGCCCCGAAGUAGCCGAGUGUAAAUAAAGUAUACUCGCAGAGAGUCGAAACGCCAGCCGAAAUACAAAUGAAAAGUGAAAGAAAUUGUUCAAAUUGCAAACUGUGAGAUAAUCCGACAAAAAAUAUCCGAAACACAUACAAAAAUAUACACCACGGAUAGAACUCAGUGCCUCUGGGAAGCUGCUGACGGCUGAAUCGAAGGGAUAAACUUUUGGCACGCAAUGCCCACGUCGACCCGUCGGUCUCCAAGCGCAGAGUGCGGUUGCGGGGAGUGCGGUCGAGGAGACUAGAGAUACAGAUACAGAUACAUAUACAGAUACACAUACAGAUACGGGCACAGAGCUGAAGCUGAAGCUGAAGUCGAACAUGUGCCAAGGCCUCGGGCCGCUUCGAAUUGCUUCUGGUGAAACCGCGACGAGGGCGACGAUGCUGCUUGAUUUAAGCCAAGUUAAAUAAACCGGCCAAGCAAACACCGACACGCACGCACACCCUCACGCACGCACGCACAGACACACACACGCAUCUACAUCUACAUCUAGAAUCACAAUCACAAUCAGAAGCAAAAACAAAUAAGACUUUUGGACUACCACAAAAGAGAAAUGGCUGCGCCCAUCGAUGAGAGUGUGCUGAACGCACUGAAGGGUGUGACCUCGAAACAGACCCGCCUGCCCAAGCCGCUGCUGAUCAAGAUCUAUGUCGCCAGCCUGAAGCAGGAGUUCAACCAGGAGCGCCGCAUGCUGCUGGAGCUGGUGGGGCCCGAGCUGCAGGGCCUCUACGAUGACCGUCAAAUCGAGCUGGAGUUCGUGGACAUGCACUUUGGCACUGGGGCCCUGGAGAUCAACCAACUGGAGCGGGAUCCCUAUAUGCUACAGGACUAUCUCCACGAGAUCGACACCUGUCAUGCCCACACGAAGAGCGUCUUCUUCCUGGCCCUCAUCGGCGACGGGCUCGGACGCCUGACGCUGCCCACGCAUCUGGACGAGGACAUCUAUGCCGCGGUGUUGGCCGACCGUCAGACAACGCCCGAACAGGAGGCUCUUCUAGCCCGGUGGUAUGAGAUGGACUCCUCCAAGGCACAGCGUCAGCUGAAGCAGGACUACCGGGUACUACCCAUGGACGCCUGGCUCAGCGAGUCCCAGCAGAUGCAGAGGAUGCUAGAGCAGGCCCUGCACGGUUUUGUCCAAGGACCUGGGGCAUCAGCGCGAUCCGCAGACUUCCUGAAACGGGUCCAGCUGCUGAGGCGCACGCAGAUCGAGCGCGAAGUGGAGCAGGCAAUGGCGCUCUCCAGCGAGAAGAUCUUGGCCGUGUUUCGGGAACGGGCAGCACAGAGCAGCAAGAGGGAUGUGGAGGCCAAUGACCGGCUGCGCAAGAUCAAGGACGAGCUCACGAUGAACCUCUCCACGGACAAUCACACCACCCUAGUGGUGCCGGGCAGUGCCUCAUGCGAAAUGAUCGACCCGGACAAUGAGGACCACGAGUCCUAUCUCAGCAAGUUUAAGAACAAAGUCACCGACAAGCUGCGGCUGCUAAUCGAGGCGCACAUUACCAAUGAUCCCGAUGUAAUCAAGGGGAGGAAAAAGACUGUUCAGGAAAUCUUUCACGAGCACGCCACUCACCUGCGCAUCCUGCGGGAUCACGUGGAGAGCGCGGCCCUCAUUGAGUCGCGAGUGCCGCCGCAGCUGCGGCAGAAUCUGAUGGCGAACUUCAGGAACGGAAGCCGGCACGCGCCGUACUUCAUUUGCGGCUCGGAUGGCAGCGGCAAGAGCGCCCUCAUCAGCACCCUGUACGGGCAGGUGGGCAGCUGGUUCGUCUCGACGCGGGUCCACCGCGUGAUCCGCUUCGCCAAGGCCACGCCGCGCUCCGCCUACAACCUGGAGCUGCUGCGCGUGAUCUGUCAGCAGAUCUCGAUUAUCUUCAACAUCCCGGAGGGCUACCUGCCCAAGGACGCCUCCUUCGACCCGCUGUACAUCAGCACCUGGUUCCAGAACCUGCUGCGCCGCGUCGAGGACAUGAGCAACGACGUCCUCUUCCUGUUCAUCGACGACUUGCACCUGCUGAACCCCCUGGACUGCGACAUCGUGACCGCCCUCUCCUGGCUACCCACCUCCCUGCCCUGGAACGUACAGAUCAUCUGCAGCUCCACCACCCCCGUCGAGCAGCUCAAGUUCACGCCCAUGCAGCGGGACCGCUUCAAGUCGGCGGAGUACCAGUUCGACCUCAACCUGGGCGAGUACGCCACGCAGCUGCAGCGACCCCCGCAGUGCGUGCCCGAAGUCAGCUUCGUGCUCUACGUGGAGCAGCAGUUCGACGGCCUGGAGCGGCACUACGGCCGGCAGGCGGUGGGCAGCCUGGCCGCCUACAUCACCUGCUCCGAGUACGGGCUGAGUGAGACGGAGCUGCUGGAGCUGCUCAUGCCCACCGACGAUCCCGAGUCGCUGAUCGACACCAGAAGCGGACACUUCAGCUUCGCCACCUUCAAGAAGAUCCACAGGGAAAUGGACAAACUCCUGCUGCUGCACGACAAGAUCAUGUCCGGCAAGGUGCUUAUACAGUGGCGCCACAACUACUGCGCCGUGGUGGCCAAGAGGCGGUACAUGGGCUGGCAGAGGACGCGCAACCUGCACAUGGAGCUGGCGAACCUCUUCUUCCCGCAGGACGAGGACGAGAGCACGCUCGAAAACGAGUCCACGCAGAGUGAGACCAAGUCCGUGAUCAGCCUCAGGGACAGUCUCAGGGAGCGGGAUCUGCCGCACAAGGACAGGGAGCGCGAGAAGGACAACGUCUCCGCUGGUCGCAAGUCCUCGUCCACCCACCACAACGACGACACCUCCACCUUCUACAACCCCAUCGCCGCCGACGUGAGCUACAGCAUGCGGCACGUGGAGGAGAGCUGGCACCACCUGAUGCGCUCCGACGACACGACUCGCUUCAAGCAAAUCGCAGUCUGCAACUUUGAUUUCCUGCUGGCGGCGGUACAAACGGUCUCGAUCAGCUAUUUGCGCUGCCUGAUCGAGCACGUGCGCUGCUAUAUCCUCGAUAGGGACAUCGAGCUGAUCUACUACACGAUACGCAAGUCCAGCGACGUGCUGACCCGCGACCCCAUGCAGCUGGGGUCCCAGCUGAUCUCCUGGCUGCGUCCGAUCAGCGAGCACGACGACGACGACAACUCGCUGCUGAGCAUGACGGUACGGUCGGCCACCGCCUGGUGCGACGGAUACGCUGUGCCGCUGCUGGUGCCCCUCACGGGAUGGCUGCCAGCACCGCUGCCCUCGCAGAUUCGCACCAUGACGGUGUCGGGCACGGGCGUCAUCCGAGCCGUCUGCCUGGCGCCCUCGAAGCAGCACCUCAUCCUGGCCACCAGCUCGGGCGAGGUGCAGCAGUGGCACAUCAUGAGCAACUCGCUGGAGCACAUCUUCAAGGGACACACUGCGGCAGUCACGUGCCUGCUGGUGGCCCCGACAACCGAACCGGAGCUGCUACUCACCGGCUCCGAGGACACCAGCGUGCUGGUCUGGCACGUCUCGCAGCGCGACCGUCGGGCGCACAUAAACGCCCACACCGCCCCCAUAACGGGCGUGGCAGCCGGGGUCAAUAAUACGCUGAUCAUCAGCAGCAGCGAGGAUGCGACAAUCGCCAUCACAGACCUGGCCAGCGGCAAACUGAAACACCGCAUCAGCCACCACCGCGGACCGGUGAGCGGGAUCCUGGUGGCCGGAGCGUGCGAUGUCCUGAUCUCGGGCAGUCACGACCGAACCAUCUGCGUGUGGAACCUCGAGAACUUUGCGCUGCUGAACACCAUGCAAAUGAUGAGUCCCGUCCUGCGCAUCGACAUCUCAUGGAACUCGGUGUUCCUCCUGGCUCUCUGCGAGGACAAUGCUCUCUAUGUGCGCACUCUGGCCACGGGCAAGGAGCUGCACACGCUCAAGGGACACAAGUCAAAGGUACGGACCAUUUCCAUUGGCAAGGACAGCCAGCGCUGCGUGGUGGGGUGCGACGAUACGCGGGCCCUGAUCUACGACAUGCACUCGGGCAAGCUGGUGCGCUCGAUGCCACCCAACCCGGGGCCGGUGACCGCCGUCUAUGCCAUGGAAAACGACGACUUCCUGAUCACGGUGGGCGGCAACAAGAUCACCUUCUACUCGUUCCGCAACGAGGAGCUCUACGUGAACCCGUACUCCCGCAACCCGCGCCGCAAGCGCAGCCUGAAGCGGCACGCCCAAGCCCAGCGCUCGCCCUCGACGACCCUGCCCCCGAUCACGUGCUUCGACCUGUCCCGCGACUCGCAGCAGAUGGCCAUCGCCUCGGGCCGCAGCGUGCACCUGAUGCGGAUCAACACGCCGGAGUACCAGUGCAGCCUGGAGGGGCACGCGGGCGUGGUCAACUGCCUGAAGUUCGCGCCCAACGGAGAGUUCCUCACCACGGGCUCCGAGGAUCGGCUCGUGCAGGUUUGGAACCUGGCGGCGACCGAGACCAUCAACACCUUCAAGGGGCAUGCGGCGCCAGUGGUCAAGGUGGUGGUGCUGAUGGACUCGCUGCGGGUCAUCUCCACGGACCGGGACUCGCUGCUGCUCGUGUGGAUGGCCGACUCGGGCAACCUGCUGCAGACCAUCCAGGGGCCGUACAAGAGCCUGGUGGUGACCAACAACAUGCGCUUCGCCGCCUCCAGCAACGGGGACAACACCCUGAAGAUCUGGUCGCUCACCCAGGAGGACGAGAAGUACUCGGUCUCGCACUCGGACGAGAUCACCUGCUUCGAGAUCAGCGCCGACAGCAUGCACAUCAUCACCGGCUCUCGGGACAUGUCGCUGAAGGUGUGGCAGUCCACGGGCGGCAAGCUCAGCCAGGUGCUGGUGGGCCACAGCGACGCUGUGACCUGUGUGUCCGUCUCGGUGACCAACAAGACGCAGGUCCUCUCCGGCUCCAAGGACACGAACCUCAUCCUGUGGGACCUGCUCACAGGCGAGGAGGUUCACACGCUGGCCGGCCACUUGGGUCCUGUCAUUGGAGUGAAGGUGUCGGCCGAUGGUUCCACGGCUGUGUCGGGCAGCGAUGACAAGACCUUGAUCGUGUGGGAGACGAAGCGUGGCCUGGCCCUCACCUCGCUGCAGAUGCACGUGCCCUUCACCCACUUCGACAUCAGCCUGGAGGUGUCGCGGGUCCUGGUGCAGCUGGUGGACAGCUACAAUCUGCCGGUUAUCUGUCUGCACAACACCCCGGCGCAGUAUGUGAAGCUGCCCACGUACUCGGGACCCACCAAGGAUGUGGAUGAUCUCCGCCCGCAGGGCCCCAAGCGCCAGAUGAAGCGGCUGCUGAAGAAAGAGGUCUCCCUGGACACGUACACCUGGCAGAAGAAGUACGGCCACCUGACCUCGUCGGUCAUGAUGGCCCAGGUCGAUGAGCGCCUGAAGCGCCGCUUCAGCGUCUCUGCCAGCAUGGAGGAGAUCUCCAAGAUCGCCGAGAACAAGACGGGAGCCUCCCAGGCCAACCUCGGCCCCGAGCAGGCGGCUCUGGCCCAGUCGCAGCACUUUGACCAGCUGGAGGCGCUGUGGAACAAGCGAUCUCCGCCCCGUCGCCGCCACAAUGCGGGUCUGUCGAGGCAGACUUCGCUGGUGGAGGACCGACUCGAGUCGUCGGACGACGACGAGUACCAGGACGAGCGCGCAGCCAACGCCCACAGUUCGAAAACCAGUUCCCGCAGCUCACUGCCCCCAUAGACAACCAACCAACCAACCAUCCAACAAACUGUGACCGCAGUCCGCAAUAGCAGAGCAUCAAAUGGCACGGCACGGCACCACGGCACCCAACAGCCAACCCAACAGCUAACCCAACAGCUAGAUAAUACAUAUGUACUACGUCGAUAAAUAUUACAAAAACCUAAAUCUAUAGAAAACGUUGUUUACUCAGCUCACGGAAUGUUUGCAAGGAGAACGCACACAUCACAUCACAUACACAUACACAUACGCAUACGCAUACGCAUAGAUAUAGGAUCUACAAUAUUUAAAUAGCAGAAAUAUCCCCCCUCUCGAUUGGCAUGAGAUCUCACUGAACCAAAUGAAUGAAUAGAGCACUCCCUCCCUACUUAUAGUAGAGUAGUAGAACCCACCACAGAACGGCACGGCACUGUCCAAAUUGACGAACCCAAUUCGACAAAUUCGGCAAGUGUGUAGAAUAUUUUGUGAUUUUGUUUUCUGUUUUUAGACGACUUCGACGAUUUCUUUUAGGGGAAACAAACCUAUUGUCCCAGUAUAAGUAAAGUAUAAGAAAUACUCGUGCUUAGGAGAUACUUACAUACAUACAUAUGUACAUAUGUAUGUAUAUGUAUGUAUGUACCACAUAACUUUCGAACAGACUCGUACCUCACGCAAAUGCUGAAACCACUUUUGAGAAUUCUACAUGCAAGAAAUACUCGUACCGAAACCAAAUCGUUUAAUAGAGCUAUAACAAUAAUAUUAUUAACCAAAUAAUGACACAGAGUUGACUUGCACUAAGCAGACUGCACCUCCAGCUGGAUCCAAUCAAAUCACUUCGCUUCAGGAGGAGGAGGAUACCACAAAGGAUAAGGCCUGAAACGGCUGCAAUUACACUUUAGCAUUUAAGAUACAUUUAUUUCCAGAAUUGCAAGCAAUAAGUGCGUAACCGUAACCGUAACGUAACGUAACGUAACCGUAACCGUAACCGUAACGUAACCUAGCGCCACAAUUAACCGACAGCUAUGGCUGCGGGAUACCAUCCCCUAACGACCCCACCCCCACAACCAUUUGUGUGUGUAGACGAAAUAUUAAAUCAGAUAAACCACCGUCUCAGACUUUGUAGGAAUUAUAGCAUUAAGUGAGCCAAUUUGGACCUUUUAUUGUUGUACUUAGAAUGUUUUAUGUACUACUCACACUGAGAGCUAAUUGCUCCAGCACACAUUCCAACUUACCUACAUAAUUAUACAUACGUACAUGCAUAUAAAGCCAAUGUAUGUACGUACCACUUAGGAAUAGCGUAGAAUCUCUUUAACUGAGAAAUGCAAAUACAAACUCUCUGAGGGGCUAAAAGCGUAACUAUGCUUAAAAGGAAAACCUAAGACGCACGGGCGAGGAAGCACUAAUGCAAAAAUCAUAAAAUGUCUAUAAUAAGCUCCCACUUAAGUCCCAGCCGUGGCAGUACGUCGCCUGCUUAAAUGGGCUCCACAGUACGAGUACCCGAGCUGAGUAAAAUGUAUGUAGAGUGCCCUCUGCCCCCGCUCGAACAGCACUUUGGUAGGUAAGGUAGGGCUCGCACCUCCCUUGGAUAACUUCAAUAACUUUCUGACAAUCAGAGGUUCUGGCCUAGAACGAAAACCCCAAAACUAAGGAAACCAAAAUCUCAACAUGAAAAUUGAUAUUUCUACACAGAUAUUUCUAUGCAUGCCACAAGUGAAACUUUGUUAAACUAAGAACACGUCUACGUUGUGUAGUGUUGUGUAGUUGUAGUGUCCACUAGAUGUCGAUAGCCGAGCAUCUCCCGAGGAACUGUGCAUCUGGAUAUGGAUAUGGAUACGGAUAUGGACUUGGAUAUAGAUAUGAUAUGAUAUACGCAUAUAUGUAUGUAUGUAGUAAACUUAUAUGGAUCAAUGUACACACUGUCUAUGUCUAUUAAACCGAAAUUAAACUCUACUCAACUUUACUGCGAAA
Molecule: RNA transcript, 7762 nt
Organism: Drosophila obscura
Lineage: Eukaryota; Metazoa; Arthropoda; Insecta; Diptera; Drosophilidae
Exons: 20
Source: RefSeq, a predicted model, not a curated record